ACAAAAAAGAUGUGUUUUCUUUAUACAAAUUCGGUCAUACUUCAAACGAAUAUAACUAUUUAUUUUCAUUCAUUUCAAAUAACAGGUGAUAUAUUGCAAUGAUUUAGUAAUGCAUUAUCAUUUGUCGACUUACAUUGUAUUAUUUUAGACGCGUUAAUGUGCAAAUAAUUAAGAAGAGUAAUCGAUGACACUGAGAAACGAAAUCUUAUAUUUGUUAAUAUUUCUCUAUGAUAGAUAAGACCACUAUGACACAUGAAUGUCGGUCGGUAGCUAAACAAAACGAACGCGAUAUUUUGCAACAGAAGUCGCAUCUUUUUUAAUAACAGGUGGUAGCAUCGGAGUAGCUGCGUUCGCGUGCAUAUUUCGAUCGCGUGUAUUUACUCAUUCGGUGGGUCGCUCGGUGGGUAAAGAAAGGCGAUCCUGUGCAUCCAGCUCUCGCAAGCGAAAAGAGAUUGAUCGACCGGUGUCUGAGCGCGAACACGUUCUCGAGGAUGCUGCUGCACACGCGGCGCAACGGACGAGUGUCGAACAAUGCGGCCUACUCCAGUAACUUUCUUUCCUCCAAGAGCACCCGUUAAUUCGAAGGAACACGCGAUCUACAUUCUUGUAGCACGUGUUUACUGACACGUGGCUCGCUCGAGAAGCUGUCAAACGAUCCAUGGAAUCGCGCAACGUCUGCCCAUACUUUUUCAUCGAACCAACUAUUUCUCCAUCUCGUAAGAUGCGAGAGUAACGAAGAAAUGGAGACACUUUACACGGGAGCAAUCCACGGGUUUCCCCAAUCGAACGGUGGACUGCCUAAUGGAAUAUCUACGGGAAUUGCCAGCUCGUUCGAUCAAGACGGCGUGUUGAGUCUCAUCGUCGUUCUGGGCGGAAGCUUGUCUCUGGUUGCUCUAGUCUUUGCCUUCAUUACCUAUAGGUAAGUCGAUUGAUAUUGCUAUUGCCAAUAAAUAGUCAGCGACAUAACAGAUUUUUCAAAAAGAGUCAAAUAAUUGAUUGUCAUUGUUGUCGAUUGGUAACAAUGGAUACUGUACAUUGUUCAUAUCUUAACACUUAGCCAACCGAAUAGGGAAAUCUGCCCUCUGUGAAGAACAUCGCUGCGUGACCGAACUGGGAGAUCUCCCUUUUUGACUUUAGCAACGCGUUUUCUUUUCUUUUUGUUGUUGUUAUUAGUUAUUGUUUACCUGGAAUUGUUCCCAAAUAAUUGCACCACUUUUUCUGCUUUUAUAAAGUACAGUAUAUAAUAAGAUAUAGCAAUUAGUGGUGUUAAAAUGAAUUAAAAAGCUACACUAUCAGUUAUGACUAAAUAAAGUUAUAAUCGAACGAUACGACACUGUAAAAAAAUAUUAAAAUGCAUUAUGAAAUUUUAAUUUCA
Long non-coding RNA from Bombus impatiens (common eastern bumble bee), 1375 nucleotides. RefSeq lists it as uncharacterized. The transcript is spliced from 3 exons. Lineage: Eukaryota; Metazoa; Arthropoda; Insecta; Hymenoptera; Apidae. The record is from RefSeq and is a predicted model, not a curated record.